This 287-nucleotide long non-coding RNA is filed under the name Musa acuminata (dwarf banana). RNAcentral's name for it is "long non-coding RNA (MACU_LNC002808)". The record is from RNAcentral. Lineage: Eukaryota; Viridiplantae; Streptophyta; Magnoliopsida; Zingiberales; Musaceae.
CACGAAGACUUGGAUGAGGAUGACCUAAGAAUGCCGCUAACUUAAGGGAACCACCAUGGUUUCCUACGACCCCCUUGUUGGUAUGAGUAGUUCACCGUCUCACCAGACACCGGUGAAGCGGCUGGUCCACCCACAUCCACGAGUAAAUGUGAUGUACUGAUCAGUAAAUGUGGUGUGUUUCACUGGCAGGGUUAGGACGUACCUAAUGGACGGCUUCUUCUGCCACGCUCACCACGCUUCGUGGCACACUCUCCACAACAUCAUCUGCGGCAGCGCCGGCAAGAUGG